This 533-nucleotide ribosomal RNA is filed under the name uncultured Methanocorpusculum sp. RNAcentral describes it as "bacterial SSU rRNA". It matches the Rfam family "Archaeal small subunit ribosomal RNA", at positions 257 to 804 of the family's 1478-position model. Lineage: Archaea; Methanobacteriati; Methanobacteriota; Methanomicrobia; Methanomicrobiales; Methanocorpusculaceae. The record is from RNAcentral.
AAUACUAUCGAUACGGGUUGUGGGAGCAAGAUCCCGGAGAUGGAUUCUGAGACAUGAAUCCAGGCCCUACGGGGCGCAGCAGGCGCGCAAACUUUACAAUGCGAGCAAUCGUGAUAAGGAAACCCUGAGUGCCUGUCGAUGCAGGCUGUUCAUAUAUCUAAAUCAUAUGUGAAGAAAGGGCAGGGCAAGACCGGUGCCAGCCGCCGCGGUAAUACCGGCUGCUCGAGUGAUGGCCACUAUUACUGGGUUUAAAGCGUCCGUAGCUUGACUGUUAGGUCUCUUGGGAAAUCUUCGCGCUCAACGUGAAGGCGUCUAAGAGAUACCGGCAGUCUUGGAACUGGGAGAGGUAAACCGUACUUCGGGGGUAGGAGUGAAAUCUUGUAAUCCUCGAGGGACGACCUAUGGCGAAGGCAGUUUACCAGAACAGCUUCGACAGUGAGGGACGAAAGCUGGGGGAGCAAACGGGAUUAGAUACCCCGGUAGUCCCAGCCGUAAACAAUGUGCGUUAGGUGAGUAUUGGGAAUUCCUGCAGC